CGUGGACAACCUACCCUAAGGAGGGGGAUAACCCCGGAAAACUGGGGAUAAUACCCCAUAGAUUAUAGAAGCUGGAAUGCUCUGUAGUCGAAAGGUCCGCCGCCUUAGGAUGGGUCUGCGGCCGAUUAGGUUGUUGUUGGGGUAAAGGCCCAACAAGCCGUUGAUCGGUACGGGUUGUGAGAGCAAGAGCCCGGAGAUGGAUUCUGAGACACGAAUCCAGGCCCUACGGGGCGCAGCAGGCGCGAAAACUUUACAAUGCGGGAAACCGUGAUAAGGGAACCCCGAGUGCCCGUAAAAUCGGGCUGUCCAUCAGUGUAAAUAACUGGUGAAGAAAGGGCCGGGCAAGACCGGUGCCAGCCGCCGCGGUAAUACCGGCGGCUCGAGUGGUGGCCACUAUUAUUGGGCUUAAAGCGUCCGUAGCUUGAUUGUUAAGUCUCUUGGGAAAUCUACCGGCUCAACCGAUAGGCGUUCAAGGGAUACUGGCAAUCUAGGGACCGGGAGAGGUGAGAGGUACUCCAGGGGUAGGAGUGAAAUCCUGUAAUCCUUGGGGGACCACCUGUGGCGAAGGCGUCUCACUAGAACGGCUCCGACAGUGAGGGACGAAAGCUG
RNAcentral lists this ribosomal RNA (609 nucleotides) under uncultured archaeon. RNAcentral's name for it is "bacterial SSU rRNA". It matches the Rfam family "Archaeal small subunit ribosomal RNA", at positions 99 to 713 of the family's 1478-position model. The record is from RNAcentral.